CCAAUAGCGUAUAUUAAAGUUGUUGCAGUUAAAAAGCUCGUAGUUGAAUUUCGGGACCAAUAUGUCGGUCGUACUUUGUACGUACUAGCAUCAUUGGUUUCUCCCUUCUGAAGAACCGCGAUGUCAUUAAUUUGGUGUCGUGGGGAAUCAGGACUGUUACUUUGAAAAAAUUAGAGUGUUUAAAGCAGGCUCGCGCUUGA
Molecule: ribosomal RNA, 200 nt
Filed under: uncultured Glomus
Lineage: Eukaryota; Fungi; Glomeromycota; Glomeromycetes; Glomerales; Glomeraceae
Description: partial small subunit ribosomal RNA
Rfam family: Eukaryotic small subunit ribosomal RNA
Source: RNAcentral